This is a long non-coding RNA of Mastomys coucha (southern multimammate mouse), 616 nucleotides long. RefSeq lists it as uncharacterized. Lineage: Eukaryota; Metazoa; Chordata; Mammalia; Rodentia; Muridae. The record is from RefSeq and is a predicted model, not a curated record. The transcript has 2 exons.
AUUAUCUAAAAUCCAUCCUUUUUUAAUCCUCCACAAGGGGAUGCCACAUUUGCUCUUGUUACGCUUGGCCACAAUACACGUGGUUAACUUUCGAUAAGUGUCUGCAGAAUAUGAGCAGCUGUCAGCUUGGGAAGCAGAGGGUGAGGAGUGGAGAGAAGGUAGCAUGGCUUCUCACUUGCCACUGCUUAGGUAUUUGGACAAGUUUUUAAUGAACUCAGUCUUGGUUUUCUCACUUAUAAGUCAACCAGUUAGAAUGCUUUUCAAAAUGCUUUGGCCUCUACGUAGGAUUCUAAGUAGCACAGUGAUCUCAUAAGAGUAAAUUCUUACCAGGAUCCGAGAGGAGCACUAGGUGUGUGCCUCUAUAAAUGGGAAGUAACAGCUUCAUGAGGAUCAUUUUCAGAUUGCUGUAGAAGUUUUCUUGAACUUCUAGGACAUCCACCUGUGAGCUGUCUAUAUGGUGUAAUGUUUGGAAGGCGUCUUCAGUGUCAGAGUUGAAGAAUUACAGUCCCUGCCUACGAUACCUCAAAUGUGCCACACAACUCUGUGUUCCAAUCAUUGUAAAGGCUGAAGUGUGCAACUAAUUUUCUUUCAAAAAAUAUAGCAGACUGAUAUCAAC